Molecule: ribosomal RNA, 447 nt
Filed under: uncultured bacterium
Lineage: Bacteria
Description: bacterial SSU rRNA
Rfam family: Bacterial small subunit ribosomal RNA
Source: RNAcentral
AACGAACGCUGGCGGCAUGCCUAACACAUGCAAGUCGAACGAAGGCUUCGGCCUUAGUGGCGCACGGGUGCGUAACGCGUGGGAAUCUGCCCUUGGGUUCGGAAUAACUCAGAGAAAUUUGAGCUAAUACCGAAUGAUGUCGAAAGACCAAAGAUUUAUCGCCCAAGGAUGAGCCCGCGUAGGAUUAGCUUGUUGGUGAGGUAAAGGCUCACCAAGGCGACGAUCCUUAGCUGGUCUGAGAGGAUGAUCAGCCACACUGGGACUGAGACACGGCCCAGACUCCUACGGGAGGCAGCAGUGGGGGAAUAUUGGACAAUGGGCGAAAGACCUGAUCCAGCAAUGCCGCGUGAGUGAUGAAGGCCUUAGGGUUGUAAAGACUCUUUUACCUAGGGAGUGAUAAUAGACAGUACCUGGAGGAAUAAGACUCCGGCGUAACUACCGUCGCCA